UACGUAGGCAGCGAGCGUUGUUCGGAGUUACUGGGCGUAAAGGGUGUGUAGGCGGUUCUUUAAGUUUGGUGUGAAAUCUCCCGGCUCAACCGGGAGGGUGCGUCGAAUACUGAGGGACUAGAGUACGGGAGAGGAAAGUGGAAUUCCUGGUGUAGCGGUGAAAUGCGUAGAUAUCGGGAGGAACACCUGCGGUGUAGACGGCUUACUGGACCAUAACUGACGCUGAGGCACGAAAGCGUGGGUAGCAAACAGG
RNAcentral lists this ribosomal RNA (253 nucleotides) under uncultured bacterium. RNAcentral's name for it is "partial 16S ribosomal RNA". It matches the Rfam family "Bacterial small subunit ribosomal RNA", at positions 524 to 776 of the family's 1533-position model. The record is from RNAcentral.